This 63-nucleotide transfer RNA is filed under the name Protohermes dichrous. Its description in RNAcentral is "tRNA-Phe". It matches the Rfam family "tRNA". From Rfam's summary of the family: Transfer RNA (tRNA) molecules are approximately 80 nucleotides in length. Their secondary structure includes four short double-helical elements and three loops (D, anti-codon, and T loops). The record is from RNAcentral. Lineage: Eukaryota; Metazoa; Arthropoda; Insecta; Megaloptera; Corydalidae.
AUUUAAAUAGCUUAAGUAGAGCGUAACAUUGAAGCUGUUAAAGUGAUAGAUUAUCUUUAAAUA